GAUGAACGCUGGCGGCGUGCCUAAUACAUGCAAGUCGAACGGGGAGUAGCAAUACUCUUAGUGGCGAACGGGUGAGUAACGCGUUGGUACCUGCCCCGAAGCGGGGGAUAACGGACCGAAAGGUCCGCUAAUACCCCAUGUGCUCGGUAACGAGUAGAGGUGAAAACCACUUUGGGAGGGGCCUGCGUCCCAUCAGCUAGUUGGUAAGGUAACGGCUUACCAAGGCGAUGACGGGUAGGGGACCUGAGAGGGUGGCCCCCCACAAUGGAACUGAAACACGGUCCAUACACCUACGGGUGGCAGCAGUAGGGAAUAUUGGUAAUGGGCGCAAGCCUGAACCAGCAACGCCGCGUGUGCGAUGACGGCCUUCGGGUUGUAAAGCACUUUUGACUGGGACGAGGAAGGACGGUACCGGUCGAAUCAGCCUCGGCUAACUACGUG
This 441-nucleotide ribosomal RNA is filed under the name uncultured bacterium. RNAcentral's name for it is "partial 16S ribosomal RNA". It matches the Rfam family "Bacterial small subunit ribosomal RNA", at positions 28 to 507 of the family's 1533-position model. The record is from RNAcentral.